Molecule: ribosomal RNA, 254 nt
Filed under: uncultured prokaryote
Description: partial 16S ribosomal RNA
Rfam family: Bacterial small subunit ribosomal RNA
Source: RNAcentral
ACGUAGGGGGCAAGCGUUGUUCGGAUUUACUGGGCGUAAAGGGCGCGUAGGCGGCCAGCGCAAGUCAGUUGUGAAAUCUCCGGGCUUAACUCGGAAAGGUCAACUGAUACUGCGCGGCUAGAGUGCGGAAGGGGCAACUGGAAUUCUCGGUGUAGCGGUGAAAUGCGUAGAUAUCGGGAGGAACACCUGUGGCGAAAGCGGCUCACUGGACCAUAACUGACGCUGAUGCACGAAAGCUAGGGGAGCAAACAGGA